ACCAUAAAAGAGGAAAAACAAAAAUUAUCAUUAAUAUGUUUUAAGGAAAGUAGGCCAAAAUCUAAAAAUUGUUAUCUGAUGGAGGGAAAUUCGGGUCCGAGUCAAUAUGUGUGUGCAUCUUAAUGAUUUUAUCAGGUAACUGCUACCUCCCACCAUCACAAGCAUCGGGUAAUGCAGAUGGAAAAUAAUCGGGCUAGGACUGAUAUGUAACUUAACAUACUUGGUUUGGUGAUAAAGAUGCUAGAGACCUCGAAGGACAUCUGGCAGAAGUUCUACCACCCGGGGGCACAACUACGGGUUUCCUAAGAGGGGAUGAGUUGUGCAUCCUCUUGAUGCCUUUAUCAAUAACAAUUACUUCUCUGAUCUCUCCCCUAAGUGGUUAAAGGUUUGGAAAAAUGAUAUGAGCCAGCUUCUCUCUGGUGAUCCAUCUGCUUGAGCUUUGCCCAUACAUAUCGAGGUGCGUAGCAUAAUUCGAUAUAUUCAAAACAGAGUGGAUUUGCUGAUCAAUAUGCGACUGAAGAAGCCCGGUUUUGUAAGAUACCAUCAGUCACAUUCAGUGCCCUUUCUUUGACUUCAAAUUUUGUGACCAACAAUGAAGCACUGUUUUGAUCCAAUAGGCUAUGUGGCUUAGUUCUACGUUGAUCACCUAUAAUAAUUACUCACAGAAAACUAAAAAGAAAGACGGAAAGCGUCUGAGUGGCGGGGAAGGCAGAAGAAAAA
Long non-coding RNA from Solanum lycopersicum (tomato), 720 nucleotides. RefSeq lists it as uncharacterized. The record is from RefSeq and is a predicted model, not a curated record. Lineage: Eukaryota; Viridiplantae; Streptophyta; Magnoliopsida; Solanales; Solanaceae.